Molecule: unclassified non-coding RNA, 288 nt
Filed under: uncultured Polyporales
Lineage: Eukaryota; Fungi; Basidiomycota; Agaricomycetes; Polyporales
Description: sequence contains 5.8S rRNA gene, ITS2, 28S rRNA gene
Rfam family: 5.8S ribosomal RNA (bases 1-52)
Source: RNAcentral
AACGCACCUUGCGCUCCUUGGUAUUCCGAGGAGCAUGCCUGUUUGAGUGUCAUGAAAUUCUCAACCUAUAAAUCUUUGCGAUUUUAUAGGCUUGGACUUGGAGGCUUGUCGGCUUUUAUGAGUCGGCUCCUCUCAAAUGCAUUAGCUUGAUUCCUUGCGGAUCGGCUCUCGGUGUGAUAAUUGUCUACGCCGUGACCGUGAAGCGUUUGGCGAGCUUCUAACCGUCUCUUGUGAGACAGCUUUUUGACAUCUGACCUCAAAUCAGGCAGGACUACCCGCUGAACUUAA